Pocillopora verrucosa is the source of this 1466-nucleotide non-coding RNA. Lineage: Eukaryota; Metazoa; Cnidaria; Anthozoa; Scleractinia; Pocilloporidae. The record is from RefSeq and is a predicted model, not a curated record.
GGCGGAGCAACGGAGUGCAGAAGACUUUACAGCAUUUGUUGAUUCUCUCAGGAGUACCAUCGAAAGAACCGCUUCCGUUUAUCACGCAUAUGAUCAUGAACGAUUAGAAAUCUGUGCUAGGAAGCUUGAAGAACACAUAGGAAUGGUUAUCGCGAUAUCUCUGUCCCAAAAUUCCUCUCCAGACCUGUUUGAGGUGUUAGAGCUGUGUUAUUAAGAAGGUCGUCUGAUAUUUUAAAUGCAUCAAGCUUUCGUCCAAAGGAGAAAAAUCCGUUGGCAUUAUCUGCAAGUUCAGGAGGAAGACCGAGGUACAUAAUUACAAGGUAAAUGAUCGAGCAACUGCGUAAGACUGGUAUGAACUGGAGAAUUAAUAGCAACAUGCCUUGGAAUCUCCGACCAAACACUACACACAAAAAGGAUCGAGUUUGGAGUAAGAAACAGUUUCACAGAUAUUACGGGUGAAGAAUUAGACGCGCAGCGACAGCAGACUCUCAAUUUAACACCCUAUAGCGGGGAAACCCAUGUUAGGGGCAGUCUCAAAGUGGUUAAAAAAUUGCACUGAACACAAAGAGAGGAAGAAAAUUUGAUUCAUGAUUUGUCUGGAGGUUGAAAAUGAAAGUCAUGACACUUUUUAGCAGCUGUCACAGGUCUAAAAUGCGAGGAACUUGCAGAACUUGCAUUGUGAUGGAGGCUCGAGCUUGGAUUACGUUGUCUACUAUGCGAGCGUCCAGAAACACGAGAUACUUCAGCAGUAAUAUUUGAUUGAGUUGGCUGUCAUUUGUUUUGAUAAUACUCGUACUUCCUCAGGAAAUUGACGCAGUUGCUGUUCUGAUUGCUGCGCCAUUUGCCCGACUCCGGCAGCGAACGAGGACGCCUCGAGGAUGAGGGAAUUUCCCGCCAAAAUACACUCCGCUGCGUAGCUGUUGCUCACCGGCUCAGAAAUACCAGUCGAUAAAUCCGCAUAGUGAUUUCUCUUUCUCAACAGUCAAUAUUUAUUUCUCGGUAUAUUGCUACGUCAGUCUUUUUCUCAAUUAAUGUUUUUUCAUUCUCGAUGGGUAAUUUAAAAUCUCGCAUGACAGUUUUUAUUCCCGCACAAUGAUUUCUAUUUCUCAUGCAGUAAUUUCCCAAUCUCACAUAUCGAUCACUGAAACUCGAUAGGUAAUUUUGGACUCAACCCACUUUUGUCGUGUAUGGCUUGCCAUAUGAAAUGGUGUCAUGUUGUGGGUCACGUCUAACAUCUUUUCGGUUCUGUGAAGACGGCUCUUAAAAAUGUUUUUCAAAAUCAUGGAAACGUUUAAACUUCGAAUAAGAAAAAACCGCGCCGUUCACCUCGAGAUUUUAACUCUGAGUGCACCUUCAGCUAAAACUCGGGAUUCCAAUCCAACCGUGACGUGGGACUUGCCCUCGCAUGCUAACAGUAAAUGGAUUAUACUGCACAUCAAGUGUACUUAGCAAUAAUGCUGAGAGAG